Long non-coding RNA from Neopelma chrysocephalum (saffron-crested tyrant-manakin), 635 nucleotides. RefSeq lists it as uncharacterized. Lineage: Eukaryota; Metazoa; Chordata; Aves; Passeriformes; Pipridae. The transcript has 3 exons. The record is from RefSeq and is a predicted model, not a curated record.
AGGGGGCGGCCGUGGCGAGGUGGGGUGGCUGUGCCGGGGGAUCGCGGCGCUGCCCCAGCGAGAGCCUCGGGAACAGGCUCUGCCCCCUCAUAGCUGAGAACCGCAGCAUGGGCCAGGCUGGAAGGGACCACAGCGGGUCAUCUGGUCCAACCUCCCUGCUCAGGCAGGGUUAUCCCAGAGCACAGGGUUGCGUCUGAAUACCUCCAGCGAGGAAGACUCCACACCCUCUGGGCAACCUGUUCCAUUGGGCUUCCACAGCUGUGUGAAAUCCACUCCCCACUCUGGCCCAGCAUGGAAAGGAAGACAAGCCAAAGGAAGAAUGACCCAAACCAAUCUGCUGAAGGGCUACUAAUGUGCACAUAUGAUCUGUCUUGACAGCACUCUUCCCACUGACCAUAAAGGUACCUGGGAUGGCCUCAUUAUUCUAAAAUUAGAUCUCAGACAUGUUUUAAUGGACAACAUGGAGUGAGAGCUGAGAAAUAAUGCUUCAGAUGAACAUCACAUACAUCCUCACACAACUAUGCUGAGCCCAAAACAGGAGUAUGUAAUUGUUCAGAAGUAUUACAGUCACGGAGCAGAACAAAAAGUUACUAAUAAAGUGUUCAUAUAAUGUGUUUCCUUAAGCAAGUAAUUAA